RNAcentral lists this ribosomal RNA (253 nucleotides) under uncultured bacterium. RNAcentral describes it as "partial 16S ribosomal RNA". It matches the Rfam family "Bacterial small subunit ribosomal RNA", at positions 524 to 776 of the family's 1533-position model. The record is from RNAcentral.
UACGUAGGUGGCAAGCGUUAUCCGGAUUUACUGGGUGUAAAGGGCGUGUAGGCGGGAAAGCAAGUCAGAUGUGAAAACCACGGGCUCAACCUGUGGCCUGCAUUUGAAACUGUUUUUCUUGAGUAUCGGAGAGGCAGGCGGAAUUCCUAGUGUAGCGGUGAAAUGCGUAGAUAUUAGGAGGAACACCAGUGGCGAAGGCGGCCUGCUGGACGACAACUGACGGUGAGGCGCGAAAGCGUGGGGAGCAAACAGG